CACUUUACGGCCACGUAAAGUGUCGAACGCCCGCUGGCAGGAGGAUAUGGGACAUAGCAAGGUGCCACGGGCCGACUGACCGAGAUGACGCACGCUCAGGUUGCAGCUGCUGUCAUUUUCAUUGGCUCCCCAUAACUACUGCAUGAACUAUGACGUCACAAUGGAUGGCCACUCUCGUCAUGGCCGCCAUCUUAGGCAUUUCACUAGUGCCUGUUGUGGCUAAAAAGAAGGAGUCGACUAACUGGUGGAAUUUCGGCGAGAGAAGGAGUCGACUAACUGGUGGAAUUUCGGUGCAGAGAAGGAGUCGACCAACUGGUGGAAUUUCGGCGCAGGUAAAUGAUGACAUCACCACGCCUCCACGUGAUCGCUUGUGUGGUGACGCUGCGAUAACGCUGCUUGAUCGUGAUGCUGUGUGAUGGUGAUGUUGUGUGAUAGUGUAUGAUAAUGGUACUGU
Petromyzon marinus (sea lamprey) is the source of this 454-nucleotide long non-coding RNA. RefSeq lists it as uncharacterized. The record is from RefSeq and is a predicted model, not a curated record. NCBI's taxonomy places the organism in Eukaryota, Metazoa, Chordata, Hyperoartia, Petromyzontiformes, Petromyzontidae.